AUGCCGCAGCGGCACUCGAAGAACAACAACGACCUCGCCUUCUUCACCUACGAGGAGAAGCGGAAGCUCGGGUACGGCACCCAGCGGGAGCGGCUCGGCAAGGACUCCAUCAAGCCCUUCGAUGCCUGCUGCCUCUGCCUCAAGCCGCUCAUCGACCCGCUCGCCUGCCCCAAGGGCCACACCUUCUGCAAGGAGUGCAUCCUCGAGUGCCUCCUCGCGCAGAAGAAGGACAUCAAGCGCAAGCUUAUAGCUCAUGACUCCCAGAAAAAGCAAGAGAAGGAAGAGGAGGAGGAGAAGCUGGUGCUGCAAAAGUCCAAGGAAUUGGAUGCUUUUGAUCAGCAGAAUCAUGGAGCAGUCCCCCAGUACUAUGAUCGCAGCGGUUCCCAAGACAAGAAUGGUUUUCAUGGAGCCAACAGUGUGAAGACUACCUCCUUCGAAGAGGAAGCCCUACGCACCAUGAAGGCGUUCUGGCUUCCGUCAGCUACACCCGAAGCUACUGUCAAGGUAGAUGCUCCUUCUACUGACACAAUCUGUCCCGAGGGGCAGGAGAAGCUCAAGCUGAAAUCACUCUUCCCUAUUUCUUUCACCGAGGAGAACGCUCGUCAGAAGAGCAAUAAGUCAGUGGAGAAAAGCUACAUCUGCCCCAGCUGCAAGUCCAAUCUCACAAACACAAUGUCCCUGGUGGCGAUCAGCACCUGUGGCCAUGUCUUCUGCAAGAAGUGCUCGGACAAGUUCAUAGCAACAGAUAAGGUCUGCUUAAUGUGCAGCAAACCGUGCAAAGAGAGGAAUUUGAUUAAUUUAGAGAAAGGAGGAACGGGUUUCGCUGCACACGAUGACCACCUAGAGGCAAAGAACUUCAAGCAUUUAGGGAGUGGUUCUGGACUAGGAUUGGUGAAGCCUGCUCCUAAGGCAUAG
RNAcentral lists this ribosomal RNA (915 nucleotides) under Triticum aestivum (bread wheat). RNAcentral's name for it is "partial small subunit ribosomal RNA". Lineage: Eukaryota; Viridiplantae; Streptophyta; Magnoliopsida; Poales; Poaceae. The record is from RNAcentral.